This 23-nucleotide ribosomal RNA is filed under the name Fuscoporia gilva. RNAcentral describes it as "partial 28S ribosomal RNA". The record is from RNAcentral. Lineage: Eukaryota; Fungi; Basidiomycota; Agaricomycetes; Hymenochaetales; Hymenochaetaceae.
UCUGACCUCAAAUCAGGUAGGAU